This 543-nucleotide ribosomal RNA is filed under the name filamentous cyanobacterium CCT1. RNAcentral describes it as "bacterial LSU rRNA". It matches the Rfam family "Bacterial large subunit ribosomal RNA", at positions 1 to 563 of the family's 2925-position model. Lineage: Bacteria; Bacillati; Cyanobacteriota. The record is from RNAcentral.
AGGUCAAGCUACAACGGGCUCACGGUGGAUACCUAGGCACGCAGAGGCGAAGAAGGACGUGGUUACCGACGAUACGCUUCGGGGAGCUGGAAGCAGGCUUUGAUCCGAAGAUUUCCGAAUGGGGCAACCCUGUAUACGGCCACCUGAAUCCAUAGGGUGGCGCGAGCGAACGCAGCGAACUGAAACAUCUUAGUAGCUGUAGGAAGAGAAAGAAAACUCGAUUCCCGUAGUAGCGGCGAGCGAACUGGGAAGAGCCUAAACCAGUGGUUUUUACCACUGGGGUUGUGGGACAGCGAUAUGGACUCGAGCGGUUAGACGAAGCAUUGGAAUGAUGCACCAGAGAAGGUGAAAGUCCUGUAGUCGAAAACUUAACGAUACUAGCUGAAUCCCGAGUAGCACGGGGCACGAGAAAUCCCGUGUGAAUCCGCGAGGACCACCUCGUAAGGCUAAAUACUCCUGCGUGACCGAUAGUGAACCAGUACCGCGAGGGAAAGGUGAAAAGAACCCCGGGAGGGGAGUGAAAUAGAACAUGAAACCGUGAGC